CGGGGCGUAGCGCAGUCUGGUAGCGCACCUGCCUUGGGCCCAGGGGGUCCCGAGUUCGAAUCCCGCCGCCCCGACCA
Molecule: transfer RNA, 77 nt
Filed under: Phyllobacteriaceae bacterium
Lineage: Bacteria; Pseudomonadati; Pseudomonadota; Alphaproteobacteria; Hyphomicrobiales; Phyllobacteriaceae
Description: tRNA-Pro
Rfam family: tRNA
About the family: Transfer RNA (tRNA) molecules are approximately 80 nucleotides in length. Their secondary structure includes four short double-helical elements and three loops (D, anti-codon, and T loops). Further hydrogen bonds mediate the characteristic L-shaped molecular structure. tRNAs have two regions of fundamental functional importance: the anti-codon, which is responsible for specific mRNA codon recognition, and the 3' end, to which the tRNAs corresponding amino acid is attached (by aminoacyl-tRNA synthetases). tRNAs cope with the degeneracy of the genetic code in two manners: having more than one tRNA (with a specific anti-codon) for a particular amino acid; and 'wobble' base-pairing, i.e. permitting non-standard base-pairing at the 3rd anti-codon position.
Source: RNAcentral